RNAcentral lists this ribosomal RNA (499 nucleotides) under uncultured bacterium. Its description in RNAcentral is "bacterial SSU rRNA". It matches the Rfam family "Bacterial small subunit ribosomal RNA", at positions 28 to 517 of the family's 1533-position model. The record is from RNAcentral.
GAUGAACGCUAGCGAUAGGCCUAACACAUGCAAGUCGAGGGGCAUCACAUGAAGUAGCAAUACGGAUGGUGGCGACCGGCGCACGGGUGAGUAACACGUAUGCAACCUGCCUUCAACAAGGGGAUAACCCGUUGAAAGACGGACUAAUACCCUAUAACACAGGGGUCCCGCAUGGGAAUAUUUGUUAAAGGACAACCGGUUGAAGAUGGGCAUGCGUUCCAUUAGCUAGUUGGCGGGGUAACGGCCCACCAAGGCAACGAUGGAUAGGGGAACUGAGAGGUUUAUCCCCCACACUGGUACUGAGACACGGACCAGACUCCUACGGGAGGCAGCAGUGAGGAAUAUUGGUCAAUGGACGCAAGUCUGAACCAGCCAUGUCGCGUGAAGGAAGACGGCCCUACGGGUUGUAAACUUCUUUUAACGGGAAUAAAGUGCCCCACGCGUGGGGUUUUGCAUGUACCGUAUGAAUAAGGAUCGGCUAACUCCGUGCCAGCAGCCG